This 405-nucleotide ribosomal RNA is filed under the name uncultured bacterium. RNAcentral's name for it is "partial 16S ribosomal RNA". It matches the Rfam family "Bacterial small subunit ribosomal RNA", at positions 30 to 526 of the family's 1533-position model. The record is from RNAcentral.
AUUGAACGCUGGCGGCAGGCUUAACACAUGCAAGUCGAAUGAGUGGCGGACGGGUGAGUUAUGCUUGGGAAUCUGGAUUAUGGAGGGGGAUAACGACGGGAAACUGUCGCUAAUACCGCGCACCAUAGGAACAGACCAAUUGGGAUUGGGUAGUUGGUUGGGCAAUGGCCUACCAAGCCGACGAUGUCUAGCUGGUCCGAGAGGAUGACCGGCAACACCGUGACGAAUACACGGCCCGGACUCCUACGGGAAGCAGCAGUGGGGAAUAUUGCGCAAUGGGGGCAACCUGACGCAGCCAUGCCGCGUGAAUGAAGAAGGCCUUCGGGUUGUAAAGUUCUUUCGGUGACGAGGCGUUAAUCACAGAAGCAGCACCGGCUAACUCCGUGCCAGCAGCCGCGGUAAUUC